This 680-nucleotide ribosomal RNA is filed under the name uncultured marine bacterium. RNAcentral describes it as "bacterial SSU rRNA". It matches the Rfam family "Bacterial small subunit ribosomal RNA", at positions 57 to 731 of the family's 1533-position model. The record is from RNAcentral.
GCAAGUCGAGGGGUAACAUAGAAAAGCUGCUUUUCUGAUGACGACCGGCGCACGGGUGCGUAACGCGUAUACAAUCUGCCUUAUACUGGGGUAUAGCCUUUAGAAAUGAAGAUUAAUCCCCCAUAGCCUCUUUUAAUGGCAUCAUUAUAAGAGUAAAGGUUACGGUAUAAGAUGAGUAUGCGUUCUAUUAGUUUGUUGGUGAGGUAACGGCUCACCAAGACUGCGAUAGAUAGGGGCCCUGAGAGGGGGAUCCCCCACACUGGUACUGAGACACGGACCAGACUCCUACGGGAGGCAGCAGUGAGGAAUAUUGGACAAUGGAGGCAACUCUGAUCCAGCCAUGCCGCGUGCAGGAAGACUGCCCUAUGGGUUGUAAACUGCUUCUAUACAGGAAGAAACCUUGGUACGUGUACCAAGCUGACGGUACUGUAAGAAUAAGGAUCGGCUAACUCCGUGCCAGCAGCCGCGGUAAUACGGAGGAUCCAAGCGUUAUCCGGAAUCAUUGGGUUUAAAGGGUCCGUAGGUGGAUAAUUAAGUCAGAGGUGAAAUCUUGCAGCUCAACUGUAAAAUUGCCUUUGAUACUGGUUAUCUUGAGUCAUUAUGAAGUAGUUAGAAUAUGUAGUGUAGCGGUGAAAUGCAUAGAUAUUACAUAGAAUACCAAUUGCGAAGGCAGAUUACUA